Molecule: unclassified non-coding RNA, 233 nt
Filed under: plant metagenome
Description: partial contains small subunit ribosomal RNA, internal transcribed spacer 1, and 5.8S ribosomal RNA
Source: RNAcentral
UUUCCGUAGGUGAACCUGCGGAAGGAUCAUUAUUGGAUUUUGAAACUUCAGGCUGCUGCUGGCUCUCCUCGGAGGGCAUGUGCACGCUUGUAGUCCAUUAUUUCUCCCACUGUGCACAAAUUGUAGACCUUUCAGUAGGCCUAUGUUGUUUUUCACAAUCUCUGAAUGUAAUAGAAUGGUUUUGAAUCUUGGGAAAUACAAUACAACUUUCAGCGACGGAUCUCUUGGCUCUC